Molecule: long non-coding RNA, 431 nt
Filed under: Hordeum vulgare
Lineage: Eukaryota; Viridiplantae; Streptophyta; Magnoliopsida; Poales; Poaceae
Description: long non-coding RNA (HVUL_LNC002024)
Source: RNAcentral
CUUGGUUAGGAUUUGGUUAGUGCCCUUCACGAGAUUGGAUGGUAGCAUCAUGCUUCGAUGGUUGAGAGCUUGAACCAGAAAAACAUAUGAAUCAGUUCAGACUUUUUUCCCGUUCAUGUCUACAAAAGCACAAAUAAACAACUAAUUUUAAUACCUAUAGUCUGUAUAGUUAUACUUUUAUAAUUUGUAGAGGAACAAACUAAUCAGAUCUGAAAAUAAACUACCUUUUUCCCGCUCAUCCAUGCUUCCUGUUUGCCGGGAACUGUCUGCGAUCCGUAGAUUGGCGCCCGCCUGUGUCGGCCUCCCUUUCCUUCCUCCACUUCUCGAUGGCGGCGCGAUUGCGCGAUGUAAACAUCCUAUCACAACAGCUAGGGUCGGUCUUGAUUGCAGCAAGGCCAGCGCUAUGUGACAGCUUGGAACCAAAGAGAUUC